This 468-nucleotide ribosomal RNA is filed under the name uncultured bacterium. RNAcentral's name for it is "partial 16S ribosomal RNA". It matches the Rfam family "Bacterial small subunit ribosomal RNA", at positions 28 to 507 of the family's 1533-position model. The record is from RNAcentral.
GACGAACGCUGGCGGCGUGCUUAACACAUGCAAGUCGAACGGAAAGGCCCUGCUUUUGUGGGGUGCUCGAGUGGCGAACGGGUGAGUAACACGUGAGUAACCUGCCCUUGACUUUGGGAUAACUUCAGGAAACUGGGGCGAAUACCGGAUAGGAGAUCCUGCUCCAUGGUGGGGGUUGGAAAGUUUCGGCGGUGGGGGAUGGGCUAGCGGCUUAUCAGCUUGUUGGUGGGGUAGGGGCUGACCAAGGCUUUGACGGGUAGCCGGCCUGGGAGGGUGACCGGCCACAAUGGGCCUGCGAGACGGCCCAGACUGCUACGGGCGGCAGCAGUGGGGAACAUUGCACAAUGGGCCGAAGCCUGAUGCAGCAACGCUGCGUGCGGGAUGACGGCUUUUGGGUUGUAAACAGCUUUCGCCUGUGACGAAGCGUGAGUGACGGUAAUGGGUAAAGAAGCACCGGCUAACUACGUG